CCAAGCCUGUUGACGACUAUAAUCCUCAUGCCUGAGGAAAAGUCAUCCGUUCCGUUCGAAGCCAGAAGAACAAGCAGGGAAGGAAGAUGACCCAGGAUCGGACAUCCACAGGCCUGGUGGACGGGCUGUGCCAGAGACUGAGCCAGGGUGGAAUCCCAAUGAUCCUGAGUAUCGAGGAAAGGGAGGAUGUUUUCGGGGUCUGCUUUUGAAAGCCAUGCAAAGAUGCUCCAGACACCCGUGGGAAACUGCAAAAGUUGGCGAUCGGUCCUGCUACCAGUCCUGCACAGCUACGAGUGGCUGCGUGGAGGGUGCUCAAUAACCGGGUUGAAGCUGAGGAUGAAAAGGAAGACAAGAAGAUGAAAAGGCAGGCCGCCCUGCUCGCUGUGGCCUGCCAGUCUCCUUAAGGAAGGGCGUUGGUGGCAGGAUUGUCCAAACUAUCCCCAGGGAGGGAAGGGAUCGAAGAAGACCGAGCCGUGGCAGUUUCCCUUGACUACAGAGCUGCCACCCUGUUCAUGGCAAAAAGCCACUUGAAUUUUGAACUGUGUUUUAAGAACCAUACAUAUUCCUCAAGUCAAGCACAGUAUCUCA
This 588-nucleotide long non-coding RNA is filed under the name Equus caballus (horse). Its description in RNAcentral is "lncRNA (ENSECAG00000054498.1)". Lineage: Eukaryota; Metazoa; Chordata; Mammalia; Perissodactyla; Equidae. The record is from RNAcentral.